Long non-coding RNA from Pocillopora damicornis (cauliflower coral), 933 nucleotides. NCBI's taxonomy places the organism in Eukaryota, Metazoa, Cnidaria, Anthozoa, Scleractinia, Pocilloporidae. The record is from RefSeq and is a predicted model, not a curated record.
AGGGGAAUUGUUUUUGUUCAGCUCUGUUACCUUCGUGAAUGGUCAAACAGUUCAUCUAGUUACUGGAAGAUUGAUCUACACAAUUUUGUUCCUGAUCUACCAAGAAUUGAGGCCUCCACUGCGCAAUAGGGGCGGGAAAAUUUUUUUUGUCAAACUGUUCUUAACACCUUUAAACUUCUUUACUCAACCGAUUGUAUUUCCGAAAUUUUAACGCAUAAAUUAUUAGCCACAGGUUCACCAGAAACCGCUACUCCACAACAGAUAAGUGUCACAACAGCCGCGAGAGCUACAAAUACAGGGUCUCCAGUUACGACGAAAGAGCCCAACGUUUCAGUGCCAAGAAAAUCAUCAGAAGAAUCCUCCUUUAAAUGGGUGGUGGCAAGCGGAAUCAUCUCAUGUGUUGUGAUAAUACUCAUUGUGGGCCUUUGCCACCAUCAGAAAAAAUGCACUAAAAAUGGAGCAAAUAAUAAUAGCUUCAUUGAAAGCAACGAAAAGGAAUUUUGCAAGUGUAUUUUGUAAAUAUAACAUACUCAAGGUAGUAGAUUUACCAAUUCGUAAUAUCCGGUCAGUCUUACAAUAUAUAGUUAGUUGUGUUUUAGGGUGAAGUUAAUCAUUGAUAUACAUUAAUUCAAGGAUUUAAACAUUGCAUAGAAAUUUAAAUCGACACUAAAUGUAUUUCUACUAAAUGCGACCUUCCCUUUUUUUUGUUUGCGUCGUCAUUUCGACUUAUUAAAUUACAAUCUUAAAGAACAGCUCGAAGUUUUCUGUUUAAGGGUGGUUUCUAUAAAUUUGACCUUUCCUUGAAAGAUUCUGUGACUCUAAAAUGUCAAAUAUUGUCCUUUGCUUUUAAUUUACUUAUCAAUUAUAGCUGAUUUUCGACGUAGCUGUAAAUGAUGUGGCAAUGAAUAAAUAAACUGAUUCCUUGAAUCCUCA